CACAAUGGGGGGAACCCUGAUGCAGCCAUGCCGCGUGUGUGAAGAAGGCCUUCGGGUUGUAAAGCACUUUCAGAUUGUGAGGAAAGGUUAGUAGUUAAUACCUGCUAGCUGUGACGUUAGCAACAGAAGAAGCACCGGCUAACUCCGUGCCAGCAGCCGCGGUAAUACGGAGGGUGCGAGCGUUAAUCGGAAUUACUGGGCGUAAAGCGCACGCAGGCGGUUUGUUCAAGCCUAGAUGUGAAAGCCCCGAGCUCAACUUGGGAUGGUCAUCUUAAGAACUGGCAGACUAGAGUCCUGGAGAGGGGAGUGGAAUUUCUAGUGUAGCGGUGAAAUGCGUAGAUAUUAGAAGGAACAUCAGUGGCGAAGGCGACUCCCUGGCCAGAGACUGACGCUCAUGUGCGAAAGUGUGGGUAGCGAACAGGAUUAGAUACCCUGGUAGUCCACACCGUAAACGCUGUCUACUAGCUGUUUGUGAGUUUAACUCGUGAGUAGCGAAGCUAACGCGCUAAGUAGACCGCCUGGGGAGUACGGCGCAAGGUUA
RNAcentral lists this ribosomal RNA (541 nucleotides) under uncultured bacterium. RNAcentral describes it as "bacterial SSU rRNA". It matches the Rfam family "Bacterial small subunit ribosomal RNA", at positions 367 to 896 of the family's 1533-position model. The record is from RNAcentral.